CUUGAACGAGACUUGCGUUCA
RNAcentral lists this non-coding RNA (21 nucleotides) under Arabidopsis thaliana (thale cress). The record is from RNAcentral. Lineage: Eukaryota; Viridiplantae; Streptophyta; Magnoliopsida; Brassicales; Brassicaceae.